Molecule: long non-coding RNA, 265 nt
Organism: Saccostrea echinata
Lineage: Eukaryota; Metazoa; Mollusca; Bivalvia; Ostreida; Ostreidae
Exons: 3
Source: RefSeq, a predicted model, not a curated record
AGAGAAGAUGGUUGCUGCUUUGGAACUGUUUGGAAUUCAAAUCUCAGCAAAUGUAUAGAAUGCUCCAUUGGCUUCUGGGGAGAGAGCUGUGUGCAAAAAUGCAAAUAUCCUAUUAUGGCAUGAAAUGCCAUAAAAAGUGCAACUGUAAAGAAAUCAUGUGCAAUUAUGGUACUGGAUGUGUAGUGCAAGAGAUUGGAAAAUCACAAGAAAUGUCCACAACACCCCAUCAUAUGAUCAUUUCCUCUGAAUACCAAAUGACUUUUCG